UGGGGAAUAUUGGACAAUGGGGGGAACCCUGAUCCAGCCAUGCCGCGUGUGUGAAGAAGGCCUUAUGGUUGUAAAGCACUUUAAGCGAGGAGGAGGCUCUCUUGGUUAAUACCCAAGAAGAGUGGACGUUACUCGCAGAAUAAGCACCGGCUAACUCUGUGCCAGCAGCCGCGGUAAUACAGAGGGUGCGAGCGUUAAUCGGAUUUACUGGGCGUAAAGCGUGCGUAGGCGGCUUUUUAAGUCGGAUGUGAAAUCCCCGAGCUUAACUUGGGAAUUGCAUUCGAUACUGGGAAGCUAGAGUAUGGGAGAGGAUGGUAGAAUUCCAGGUGUAGCGGUGAAAUGCGUAGAGAUCUGGAGGAAUACCGAUGGCGAAGGCAGCCAUCUGACCUAAUACUGACGCUGAGGUACGAAAGCAUGGGGAGCAAACAGGAUUAGAUACCCUGGUAGUCCAUGCCGUAAACGAUGUCUACUAGCCGUUGGGGCCUUUGAGGCUUUAGUGGCGCAGCUAACGCGAUAAGUAGACCGCCUGGGGAGUACGGUCGCAAGACUAAAACUCAAAUGAAUUGACGGGGGCCCGCACAAGCGGUGGAGCAUGUGGUUUAAUUCGAUGC
RNAcentral lists this ribosomal RNA (611 nucleotides) under uncultured Acinetobacter sp. Its description in RNAcentral is "bacterial SSU rRNA". It matches the Rfam family "Bacterial small subunit ribosomal RNA", at positions 355 to 957 of the family's 1533-position model. The record is from RNAcentral. Lineage: Bacteria; Pseudomonadati; Pseudomonadota; Gammaproteobacteria; Moraxellales; Moraxellaceae.